UACGAAGGGGGCUAGCGUUGCUCGGAAUCACUGGGCGUAAAGGGUGCGUAGGCGGGUCUUUAAGUCAGGGGUGAAAUCCUGGAGCUCAACUCCAGAACUGCCUUUGAUACUGAAGAUCUUGAGUUCGGGAGAGGUGAGUGGAACUGCGAGUGUAGAGGUGAAAUUCGUAGAUAUUCGCAAGAACACCAGUGGCGAAGGCGGCUCACUGGUCCAUUACUGACACUGAUGAGCGAAAGCCAGGGGAGCAAACGGG
This 253-nucleotide ribosomal RNA is filed under the name uncultured bacterium. RNAcentral describes it as "partial 16S ribosomal RNA". It matches the Rfam family "Bacterial small subunit ribosomal RNA", at positions 524 to 776 of the family's 1533-position model. The record is from RNAcentral.